This 253-nucleotide ribosomal RNA is filed under the name uncultured bacterium. RNAcentral's name for it is "partial 16S ribosomal RNA". It matches the Rfam family "Bacterial small subunit ribosomal RNA", at positions 524 to 776 of the family's 1533-position model. The record is from RNAcentral.
UACGGAGGGUGCAAGCGUUAUCCGGAUUCACUGGGUUUAAAGGGUGCGUAGGCGGGUAUGUAAGUCAGUGGUGAAAUCCUGGAGCUUAACUCCAGAACUGCCAUUGAUACUAUAUAUCUUGAAUAUUGUGGAGGUUUGCGGAAUAUGUCAUGUAGCGGUGAAAUGCUUAGAUAUGACAUAGAACACCUAUUGCGAAAGCAGCAGGCUACACAUAUAUUGACGCUGAGGCACGAAAGCGUGGGGAUCAAACAGG